UUCGGUCCUCUGUUAUUAAAAAAGCCUUAUAUCAAUUAAUAAUAAAAUUUAAUUCUCGCGUUUUGUUCCGAAUAAAAGUUUCUUUUUCGUCUCCGGAAAAACUGUAUCGUUUGAGCAAUCGGUCGUUGAGAGCGAUCGCUUACCUGCCGCGUGGCAAGAUUUCAGCUUUUGUGCUCAAGAGGAUUUUCAACUCGAACAACCACCUACCUGCUCGAUAUAUUUGAACGAGAUACAGACUGCAGUGCAAGAUAAUAAACGUGAUGAUGUGAUUAGUCCGAGCCUUUUAUUUCCACGACUGAUAAAAGAAUCGAAGAAAGGAUUAAAAAGUCACGAGAAAAAGCAUGCAGUAAACAAAAAUGUUAAAACAAAUUCAAUAGAUUUAGAUAACAAUAUAGAAAACAAGCCACCUACUGCAUCACUGGCUAGAUUGCAAAAGAAAAAGAAGAACAUUAACGAGUAGAUUAAUAUUAACAUGCGAUCCAAAGCUCAGAGAUCAAC
Long non-coding RNA from Nylanderia fulva, 498 nucleotides. RefSeq lists it as uncharacterized. The record is from RefSeq and is a predicted model, not a curated record. NCBI's taxonomy places the organism in Eukaryota, Metazoa, Arthropoda, Insecta, Hymenoptera, Formicidae.